This 253-nucleotide ribosomal RNA is filed under the name uncultured bacterium. Its description in RNAcentral is "partial 16S ribosomal RNA". It matches the Rfam family "Bacterial small subunit ribosomal RNA", at positions 524 to 776 of the family's 1533-position model. The record is from RNAcentral.
UACAGAGGUCCCGAGCGUUGUUCGGAUUUAUUGGGCGUAAAGGGUGCGUAGGCGGCGGGGAAAGUCAGAUGUGAAAUCCGGAGGCUCAACCUCCGAAUUGCAUCCGAUACUCCCUCGCUAGAGAGUUGUAGAGGAGCUUGGAAUUCUCGGUGUAGCAGUGAAAUGCGUAGAUAUCGAGAAGAACGCUCGCAGCGAAGGCGAAGCUCUGGGCAAUUUCUGACGCUGAUGCACGAAGGCUAGGGGAGCAAACGGG